Molecule: transfer RNA, 76 nt
Filed under: Elusimicrobiales bacterium
Lineage: Bacteria; Pseudomonadati; Elusimicrobiota; Elusimicrobia; Elusimicrobiales
Also listed under: 1 other name
Description: tRNA-Ala
Rfam family: tRNA
About the family: Transfer RNA (tRNA) molecules are approximately 80 nucleotides in length. Their secondary structure includes four short double-helical elements and three loops (D, anti-codon, and T loops).
Source: RNAcentral
GGGCGUAUAGCUCAGCUGGGAGAGCGCCUCGUUCGCAACGAGGAGGUCAGGGGUUCGAACCCCCUUACGUCCACCA